Molecule: non-coding RNA, 214 nt
Organism: Pelobates cultripes (western spadefoot toad)
Lineage: Eukaryota; Metazoa; Chordata; Amphibia; Anura; Pelobatidae
Source: the annotation of a GenBank genome assembly
CGCCUACAACGAGACACAAUCGCCUCACAGCUUAGCGAGUUAAGCAUUUAAGCAGAUUAGCAUUGCCUCAUCAUUUUAUGUACCAUUAAGGUCUUAUUCCUCUUUCCUUAAAAAUGUUUGGUAUGCGACCUAUGCCUACAAUCACACUAUGCAACCAGCAGCGCACCAGGGGUUAAACCCACUGCUAGCCUAUAUCAACCAUUCGUAAACCACU